UACGAAGGGGGCUAGCGUUGUUCGGAAUUACUGGGCGUAAAGCGUAUGCAGGCGGACUUGCAAGUCGGGGGUGAAAGCCCGAGGCUCAACCUCGGAACUGCCCUCGAUACUGCAAAUCUCGAGUCCGAGAGAGGUGAGUGGAAUUCCUAGUGUAGAGGUGAAAUUCGUAGAUAUUAGGAAGAACACCAGUGGCGAAGGCGGCUCACUGGCUCGGUACUGACGCUGAGGCGCGAAAGCGUGGGGAGCAAACAGG
This 253-nucleotide ribosomal RNA is filed under the name uncultured bacterium. Its description in RNAcentral is "partial 16S ribosomal RNA". It matches the Rfam family "Bacterial small subunit ribosomal RNA", at positions 524 to 776 of the family's 1533-position model. The record is from RNAcentral.